Molecule: long non-coding RNA, 504 nt
Organism: Nerophis lumbriciformis (worm pipefish)
Lineage: Eukaryota; Metazoa; Chordata; Actinopteri; Syngnathiformes; Syngnathidae
Source: RefSeq, a predicted model, not a curated record
UGUACUUCCUGUAAAGAGUUCCUGUAUAGAGUUUAUGCUCGAAAUGAUUCUUCUUUUAUCACCCCAAGCAACGUUUUUUCACAAAUUCCUCAGUAAACUCCCCGAGACGUCACCGUGGAGUUAAUUGAGUCUUUAAGCCGAUUUGAGAGCGAGCUUCCGCAGCUAGUGGAUCCAUAACAUAACUUCUAUUUUGUUUGAUCAGCCGACACCCUUUGGAAACAAUUAAGCACCGGGGCUAUCAUGGAACUGGGUUUCUGUGAUGUCACAACGCUGGUCGUACUUAUUUGGUAGUUACGUCAAGCUCUCAACCAGAGGAGCUCCUCCCCGUCUGCUUCAGGCUGUGACGAAACACCAAAAAGGGGGAGCUAUGGAGCAGGUUGGCGAGGCAUGGAGGCCUGCUCAAGUUCAAGUCCAGACAGCAGGAGAAGGUUUGACCUCAAAGGUGAGCUCCAGGUGUCAAUAAGGCUCCUCUGUCAGUGAAAGGUAUUCAAACUGGUGUGUGUG